GUCUAUGGCCAUGCCACCCUCAACAAGCCGGAUCCCAUCUGAUCUCGGAAACUAAGCAGGGUCGAGCCUGGUUAGUACGUGGAUGAGAGACCACUUAGGAGCACCAGGUGCUGUAGGCA
This 119-nucleotide ribosomal RNA is filed under the name Pteropus alecto (black flying fox). Lineage: Eukaryota; Metazoa; Chordata; Mammalia; Chiroptera; Pteropodidae. The record is from RNAcentral.